Molecule: ribosomal RNA, 465 nt
Filed under: uncultured bacterium
Lineage: Bacteria
Description: partial 16S ribosomal RNA
Rfam family: Bacterial small subunit ribosomal RNA
Source: RNAcentral
CCUACGGGGGGCAGCAGUGGGGAAUAUUGCGCAAUGGGCGAAAGCCUGACGCAGCGACGCCGCGUGAGGGAUGAAGGUCUUCGGAUCGUAAACCUCUGUCAGCAGGGAAGAACGGGCACUGUGCUAAUCAGCAGUGAAUUGACGGUACCUGCAAAGGAAGCACCGGCUAACUCCGUGCCAGCAGCCGCGGUAAUACGGAGGGUGCGAGCGUUAAUCGGAAUUACUGGGCGUAAAGCGCUCGUAGGCGGUAUGUCAAGUCAAGGGUGAAAUCCCCGCGCUCAACGUGGGAACUGCCUUUGAAACUGGCAAACUGGAGUGUGUGAGAGGAUAGUGGAAUUCCAGGUGUAGGGGUGAAAUGCGUAGAUAUCUGGAGGAACAUCAGUGGCGAAGGCGACUAUCUGGCACAUAACUGACGCUGAGGAGCGAAAGCGUGGGUAGCAAACAGGAUUAGAUACCCUUGUAGUC